AAUGAACGCUGGCGGCGUGGAUAAGACAUGCAAGUCGAACGAAAAGAGAUUUAGUUUACUAAUGAUCUUUUAGUGGCGGACGGGUUAGUAACGCGUGAGCAACCUGCCUUAAAGAGGGGGAUAGUCCUGGGAAACUGGGUUUAAUACCGCAUAAGCUCCAUCAUUUAUUUGGCGGAGUAAAGUGGCCUUCGGGUCAUGCUUUAAGAUGGGCUCGCGUCCUAUCAGCUUGUUGGUGAGGUAAAGGCUCACCAAGGCGACGACGGGUAGUUGGUCUGAGAGGGCGAUCAGCAACACUGGAACUGAGACACGGUCCAG
RNAcentral lists this ribosomal RNA (315 nucleotides) under uncultured Rubritalea sp. RNAcentral describes it as "bacterial SSU rRNA". It matches the Rfam family "Bacterial small subunit ribosomal RNA", at positions 29 to 334 of the family's 1533-position model. The record is from RNAcentral. Lineage: Bacteria; Pseudomonadati; Verrucomicrobiota; Verrucomicrobiia; Verrucomicrobiales; Rubritaleaceae.